This 435-nucleotide ribosomal RNA is filed under the name uncultured bacterium. RNAcentral's name for it is "bacterial SSU rRNA". It matches the Rfam family "Bacterial small subunit ribosomal RNA", at positions 355 to 787 of the family's 1533-position model. The record is from RNAcentral.
UGAGGAAUAUUGGUCAAUGGUCGGGAGACUGAACCAGCCAAGCCGCGUGAGGGAUGAAGGUACAGAGUAUCGUAAACCUCUUUUGUCAGGGAACAAAAGGCGCCACGUGUGGCGCUCCGAGUGUACCUGAAGAAAAAGCAUCGGCUAACUCCGUGCCAGCAGCCGCGGUAAUACGGAGGAUGCGAGCGUUAUCCAGAUUUAUUGGGUUUAAAGGGUGCGUAGGCGGCGAGUUAAGUCAGCGGUAAAAGCCCGGGGCUCAACCCGGCCGCCGUGCAAUCUGGCAUUGCUUGAUGUGGUAGAGAAGAUAGGCGGAAUGCGCGGUGUAGCGGUGAAAUGCUUAGAUAUCGCGCAGAACUCCGAUUGCGAAGGCAGCCUACCGGCUCCACACUGACGCUGAGGCACGAAAGCGUGGGUAUCGAACAGGAUUAGAUACCC